RNAcentral lists this ribosomal RNA (465 nucleotides) under uncultured bacterium. RNAcentral's name for it is "partial 16S ribosomal RNA". It matches the Rfam family "Bacterial small subunit ribosomal RNA", at positions 28 to 507 of the family's 1533-position model. The record is from RNAcentral.
GAUGAACGCCGGCGGCGUGCUUAACACAUGCAAGUCGAACGGAAAGGCUCCUGCUUGCAGGGGUACUCGAGUGGCGAACGGGUGAGUAACACGUGGGUGAUCUGCCCUGCACUUCGGGAUAAGCCUGGGAAACUGGGUCUAAUACCGGAUAGGACGAUGGUUUGGAUGCCAUUGUGGAAAGUUUUUCGGUGUGGGAUGAGCUCGCGGCCUAUCAGCUUGUUGGUGGGGUAAUGGCCUACCAAGGCGUCGACGGGUAGCCGGCCUGAGAGGGUGUACGGCCACAUUGGGACUGAGAUACGGCCCAGACUCCUACGGGGGGCAGCAGUGGGGAAUAUUGCACAAUGGGCGCAAGCCUGAUGCAGCGACGCCGCGUGGGGGAUGACGGCCUUCGGGUUGUAAACUCCUUUCGCUAGGGACGAAGCGCAAGUGACGGUACCUGGAGAAGAAGCACCGGCUAACUACGUG